Molecule: ribosomal RNA, 1163 nt
Filed under: Rosalina orbicularis
Lineage: Eukaryota; Foraminifera; Rotaliida; Rosalinidae
Description: SSU rRNA
Rfam family: Eukaryotic small subunit ribosomal RNA
Source: RNAcentral
GUGGAGCAUGUGGCUUAAUUUGACUCAACGCGGGAAAUCUUACCGGGUCCGGACACACUGAGGAUUGACAGGCGAUAUCAACUCUCUCUCUUUUAAUUUAAUUAUUAAAAAGUAGAGGUGUUGUGUUAAAUAUGCUAGUCCUUUCAUGAUUAUGUGAUAGGUGGUGCAUGGCCGUUCUUAGUUCGUGGAGUGAUCUGUCUGCUUAAUUGCGUUUCACUAAGGGCCUAUAUCAUUACAAGCAUGUCUAUGCAAUUCUAGCGCAUUGACCCCUCAUCACAUUCAAAACUUCAAUUAUUUGAUUGUUUUAUUUGUGAUGUUUGCGCGUGUCUUUGACUAACGCUGUUUGCUUUUCAUGUGUUUUAGGUCCUGAAAGCAACGAACGUGACCGCAACCUCUUGUUGCCACAUUCAAACUCUUUCAUCAUCACAUCAUCGAAGCUAAUUCGUUUUGUGAGAAAAGUCAGGUGGCUUUUUUUUUAAACUAGAGGGACCGCUGGUAUCUUCUUAAACCAGAGGAAGGUUGCGGCAAUAACAGGUCUGUGAUGCCCUAGAUGUCCGGCUGCACACGUGCUACAAUGAUCAUUGCAGUGAGCAUCUCAAAUUACUUAUCAUACAUCGCUAGCGCGAGUCCGUUAUUCUGUUCAUGCCUGUAGUCUCAUACGGCUGUUGGCUGCAGCUUUAAACGUGUAUCUCUGCGCGCGAUCCAGCCUGCUUUGAAAGUUUAGUGGGUAAUCAAUUAGAAGUAAUGAUUUCCAAGUUAUAGCACACUGAUAUACGGCAUCCUUACCCAGCUAGCCUUUUGUGCUAGUCUUUUGUGCGUAGAGAUGAAUCCAACAUUCUAGUAAUUUCUCAUACUCCCUCUCUCUUUGUGAGAGUUGUGAUAAUGAAUUUGCUUUGAAUGGUUCGUAUGUGCAAUUGUCAAUUCAUGGUGGGGACAGACCAUUGUUAAUUGUUGGUCUCGGUCUUAACUAGGAAUGCCUUGUACGGGUCUUUGGUUCAACAAACCACCCGGAAUACGUCCCUGCCCUUUGUACACACCGCCCGUCGCUCUUACCGAUGGACUUCUCUGUGAGUUUGAGGGACUGGGUAUUCAUGAUAAUCAAUUAUUCAUUCGUGAAUAAUUACAUGACCUAUGGAAACUUAAACGAACAGUGUGGUCUAAAG